This is a non-coding RNA of Camellia sinensis, 2288 nucleotides long. Lineage: Eukaryota; Viridiplantae; Streptophyta; Magnoliopsida; Ericales; Theaceae. The record is from RefSeq and is a predicted model, not a curated record.
CCCAUGCCCAUGCCCAUGCCAUCCACCGGCAAUUAUCGAAUGAGGAGUAGAAGGAGGAGGAAGAGGGACACAUCCACUUUUCUUUCUUCUUCGUCAUCUUCUGCUGGGUCUUCUCCCCAACUGGAUGAGGUGAGAUGUCCUUCAAAAGCAUUGUACGCGAGCUGAGGGAGAUGAAAGAUGGAAUGGGAGUAUAUCAAAACGAAGGGUGGAAGGCAAGCACUGGUGUAACCUAACCCGAUCACAUAUUGCCCCUGAUGUAGCCCCUUCUGAGCCAGUUGAACAAGGAAAGUGGGCUAACUUGCCUUCGGAAUUGCUUUUGGAUAUAAUUCAGAGGGUUGAAGAGAGCGAAACAACCUGGCCUGCAAGGACCGAUGUUGUCUUUUGUGCAUCAGUUUGCAAAUCAUGGAGGGAUAUUACAAAGGAGAUUGUCAAGACUCCAGAGGAAUGUGGGAGACUGACCUUUCCCAUUUCAUUGAAACAGAUUCAAGGAUUAUAUCCCUGCAAAGUAUCAUUCCUUAUAUGAGCAGUACCUUAAAAGAAGUGACAACGCAGUCGCCAUGUGAAGUUGGCUGUACAAAAGGUGAUGAUGCUGGUCUUUCAAAUGCGCACAUGAUUAUGGCAGAGAUUCCAAAUGCUUCAGAAGCGGUGGUAUAGGUUAUUCAAUUAUGGUAUUGGGAUACAUCUUUUGCAAUCUGAAGACCCUGAAAACAUGCCCAAGAUUUGCCAUAUUAAUCCCAAAGAUAAUCAUAUUUCUUUCCAAGAGGCGAAAUUUCAAAUAUGGUGAAGAAUGAAGAUUCAGGUAGCCCUCGCUGGAGUGCUUCGCUCUUUAUGCAGACAACAGAAGAUGUUGCAAGAGCUGUUGCUGCUGCAGCUGCUGCAGCUGCUGCUGCCACUACUGUUCGUUCACCCCGACCAUCUGUGGUAUUCUCAUCAAAAGAUGACAACGACAAUAGUCCACUACAUAAACUUCAACACCAAGUUUCUAGAGUACUAAAAGGCUUUUCACAGCCUCUUGAAGUGAAAAGUGGAACUUAUAACCCAGAAGUACUAACUAGCCAAAAGCGUCAAUGGGCAAGCGUCCAAUUGCAGUCCCUGGAUCAUAGGCCUUUAAAAGAGCCAUCAAGGCUUUUUGAGAGCAUGGUGGUUGUUGGACUUCAUCCUAAUUGUGAUAUUCAGGCACUUCAGAAGCAGUACUUUGGGAGAAAGUCUGAAGGUUCGGGUAAAUUUCGAAGUGCAUUCAGUGGUCAGCAUCAGUCUCGUGUAGAACCUAACCUUGAACCCCAGGUCUUAUUUGUUUAUCCUCCUGAAAAACAGCUGCCACUUAAGUAUAAGGAUCUUCUUUCAUUCUGCUUUCUUGGAGGUGUGGAGGUUCAUGCUAUUGAAAAAACUUCUUCAAUGAGCGAGUUGAAUGAAAUACUUCUUGGGCAGUGGAACCACCGGCAUCAGUGUCGGUUUCAGUUUCCUUGGCCGUGACUUCUACAACGCCCUUGCCAACAAAGACCAAGAACAGUUCACCAAGCAACUGUUGUACUACCUCGGUGCUUUUGCUGGUGGAAUUCCAGUGAGCAAAUUGCUCUACUUUCUUAGAUUUUUGUGUUGAGAGAGACUAUGCCAGAGAAACUCUUUCUUUGAGGUGGAGGUCUUGGAUGACAAACUAUUACAUAGAUCGCUAUCUAAAGAAUAGGACAUUCUACAAAAUACAGUCCCAAUCAAUAAUUGACAAUCCAGAUCAGCGGAUUGUUGAUGAUCUAAGUUCCUUUACUGGGACAGCACUUUCAUUCUCUUUGACACUAUUCAAUGCUGCAGUAGAUUUGGUAUCAUUUAGCAACAUCCUGUACGGUAUCUAUCCGCCAUUGUUUGCUGUACUUGUUGUUUAUUCAAUCAGUGGAACAGCAAUUAGUGUUUUCCUUGGGAGGGUGAGUUCCUCUUCUUUGACGGUCAUAUUUUUGAAACUGCAGUGAAGCUUCUUGGAAUAAAAGGUGGUAUUUACUCCAAAUGGUGGGAAAUGUUUCAUCUGGAAUUUCAGGGACUAGUAACCUUAAACUUUUUGCAAGAGAAAAAAGAAGCAGAUUUCCGUUUUGGACUGGUACGUCUUCGAGAAAAUGCUGAGUCAAUUGCAUUCUACGCUGGUGAGGACAAUGAAAAGCAACUACUGCUGCAACGCUUCAGAAGUGCUUUUGAAAACUUAACUGUAUGGAUUACCUUUUAUUCUUUUGAUGUUUCUGCUUCCAUAAUAAACACCUUUAUAUAGAAGGUUUAUUGCUAUUAUAUUCCUUGUUGAUGAUCUA